RNAcentral lists this ribosomal RNA (1048 nucleotides) under Enterobacteriales bacterium 15T4. RNAcentral describes it as "bacterial SSU rRNA". It matches the Rfam family "Bacterial small subunit ribosomal RNA", at positions 57 to 1095 of the family's 1533-position model. Lineage: Bacteria; Pseudomonadati; Pseudomonadota; Gammaproteobacteria; Enterobacterales. The record is from RNAcentral.
GCAGUCGAGCGGCAGCGGGAAGUAGCUUGCUACUUUGCCGGCGAGCGGCGGACGGGUGAGUAAUGUCUGGGGAUCUGCCUGAUGGUGGGGGAUAACUACUGGAAACGGUGGCUAAUACCGCAUAACGUCGCAAGACCAAAGUGGGGGACCUUCGGGCCUCACGCCAUCGGAUGAACCCAGAUGGGAUUAGCUAGUAGGUGGGGUAAUGGCUCACCUAGGCGACGAUCCCUAGCUGGUCUGAGAGGAUGACCAGCCACACUGGAACUGAGACACGGUCCAGACUCCUACGGGAGGCAGCAGUGGGGAAUAUUGCACAAUGGGCGCAAGCCUGAUGCAGCCAUGCCGCGUGUGUGAAGAAGGCCUUCGGGUUGUAAAGCACUUUCAGCGAGGAGGAAGGUGUUCGUGUUAAUAGCACGGACAAUUGACGUUACUCGCAGAAGAAGCACCGGCUAACUCCGUGCCAGCAGCCGCGGUAAUACGGAGGGUGCGAGCGUUAAUCGGAAUUACUGGGCGUAAAGCGUACGCAGGCGGUUUGUUAAGUCAGAUGUGAAAUCCCCGAGCUUAACUCGGGAACUGCAUUUGAAACUGGCAAGCUAGAGUCUCGUAGAGGGGGGUAGAAUUCCAGGUGUAGCGGUGAAAUGCGUAGAGAUCUGGAGGAAUACCGGUGGCGAAGGCGGCCCCCUGGACGAAGACUGACGCUCAGGUACGAAAGCGUGGGGAGCAAACAGGAUUAGAUACCCUGGUAGUCCACGCUGUAAACGAUGUCGAUUUGAAGGUUGUGGCCUUGAGCCGUGGCUUUCGGAGCUAACGCGUUAAAUCGACCGCCUGGGGAGUACGGCCGCAAGGUUAAAACUCAAAUGAAUUGACGGGGGCCCGCACAAGCGGUGGAGCAUGUGGUUUAAUUCGAUGCAACGCGAAGAACCUUACCUACUCUUGACAUCCAGAGAAUUAGGCAGAGAUGCCUAAGUGCCUUCGGGAACUCUGAGACAGGUGCUGCAUGGCUGUCGUCAGCUCGUGUUGUGAAAUGUUGGGUUAAGUCCCGCAACGA